UGUCCCUACGGGACGCAGCAGUGGGGAAUAUUGCACAAUGGGGGAAACCCUGAUGCAGCAACGCCGCGUGAGUGAAGAAGUAUUUCGGUAUGUAAAGCUCUAUCAGCAGGGAAGAAGAAAGACGGUACCUGACUAAGAAGCCCCGGCUAACUACGUGCCAGCAGCCGCAGUAAUACGUAGGGGGCAAGCGUUAUCCGGAUUUACUGGGGGUAAAGGGAGCGUAGACGGCUGUGCAAGUCUGAAGUGAAAGCCCGUGGCCCAA
RNAcentral lists this ribosomal RNA (262 nucleotides) under uncultured bacterium. RNAcentral's name for it is "partial 16S ribosomal RNA". It matches the Rfam family "Bacterial small subunit ribosomal RNA", at positions 335 to 612 of the family's 1533-position model. The record is from RNAcentral.